This 1155-nucleotide ribosomal RNA is filed under the name Penicillium cf. verruculosum RS7PF. RNAcentral describes it as "eukaryotic LSU rRNA". The stretch from base 523 to 1155 matches the Rfam family "Eukaryotic large subunit ribosomal RNA", at positions 1 to 648 of the family's 3401-position model. Lineage: Eukaryota; Fungi; Ascomycota; Eurotiomycetes; Eurotiales; Aspergillaceae. The record is from RNAcentral.
UUUCCGUAGGUGAACCUGCGGAAGGAUCAUUACCGAGUGCGGGCCCUCGCGGCCCAACCUCCCACCCUUGUCUCUAUACACCUGUUGCUUCGGCGGGCCCACCGGGGCCACCUGGUCGCCGGGGGACGCACGUCCCCGGGCCCGCGCCCGCCGAAGCGCUGUGAACCCUGAUGAAGAUGGACUGUCUGAGUACUAUGAAAAUUGUCAAAACUUUCAACAAUGGAUCUCUUGGUUCCGGCAUCGAUGAAGGACGCAGCGAAAUGCGAUAAGUAAUGUGAAUUGCAGAAUUCCGUGAAUCAUCGAAUCUUUGAACGCACAUUGCGCCCCCUGGCAUUCCGGGGGGCAUGCCUGUCCGAGCGUCAUUUCUGCCCUCAAGCACGGCUUGUGUGUUGGGUGUGGUCCCCCCCGGGACCUGCCCGAAAGGCAGCGGCGACGUCCGUCUGGUCCUCGAGCGUAUGGGGCUCUGUCACUCGCUCGGGAAGGACCUGCGGGGGGUUGGUCACCAUCAUAUUUUACCACGGUUGACCUCGGAUCAGGUAGGAGUUACCCGCUGAACUUAAGCAUAUCAAUAAGCGGAGGAAAAGAAACCAACCGGGAUUGCCUCAGUAACGGCGAGUGAAGCGGCAAGAGCUCAAAUUUGAAAUCUGGCCCCUUUGGGGUCCGAGUUGUAAUUUGCAGAGGAUGCUUCGGGUGCGGUCCCCGUCUAAGUGCCCUGGAACGGGCCGUCAUAGAGGGUGAGAAUCCCGUCUGGGAUGGGCGGCCGCGCCCGUGUGAAGCUCCUUCGACGAGUCGAGUUGUUUGGGAAUGCAGCUCUAAGCGGGUGGUAAAUUUCAUCUAAAGCUAAAUACUGGCCGGAGACCGAUAGCGCACAAGUAGAGUGAUCGAAAGAUGAAAAGCACUUUGAAAAGAGAGUUAAACAGCACGUGAAAUUGUUGAAAGGGAAGCGUUGUCCACCAGACUCGCCCGGGGGGGUUCAGCCGGCACGUGUGCCGGUGUACUCCUCUCCGGGCGGGCCAGCAUCGGUUUGGGCGGCUGGUGAAAGGCCCCGGGAAUGUAACACCCUUCGGGGUGCCUUAUAGCCCGGGGUGCCAUACAGCCAGCCUGGACCGAGGCCCGCGCUUCGGCGAGGAUGCUGGCGUAAUGGUGGUCAACGGC